UUCCUCUUCUUCUUCUCUUCAGUCUCCUGACUGGAAACUCGUCUGCCUGCACAAACGCUGACAGCAAAGUGAUCUCCACAGAAGGGACAGAUGUUAUUUUACCCUGCUCCCCCAGCACCAGAGAAAACCUC
This is a long non-coding RNA of Trematomus bernacchii (emerald rockcod), 131 nucleotides long. RefSeq lists it as uncharacterized. The transcript has 2 exons. NCBI's taxonomy places the organism in Eukaryota, Metazoa, Chordata, Actinopteri, Perciformes, Nototheniidae. The record is from RefSeq and is a predicted model, not a curated record.